UACGGAGGGUGCAAGCGUUAAUCGGAAUUACUGGGCGUAAAGCGCACGCAGGCGGUUUGUUAAGUGAGGUGUGAAAUCCCCGGGCUUAACCUGGGAAUUGCAUUUGAUACUGGGAAUCUUGAGUCUCGUAGAGGGGGGUAGAAUUCCAGGUGUAGCGGUGAAAUGCGUAGAGAUGUGGAGGAAUACCGGUGGCGAAGGCGGCCCCCUGGACGAAGACUGACGCUCAGGUGCGAAAGCGUGGGGAGCAAACAGG
This 253-nucleotide ribosomal RNA is filed under the name uncultured bacterium. RNAcentral describes it as "partial 16S ribosomal RNA". It matches the Rfam family "Bacterial small subunit ribosomal RNA", at positions 524 to 776 of the family's 1533-position model. The record is from RNAcentral.